GCUGGGCAUGGUGGUGCAUGCCUGUAAUCCCAGCUACUUGGGAGGCUGAGGCAGGAGAAUUGCUUGAACCUGGGAGGCAGAGGUUGCAGUGAGCCAAGAUUACACCACUGCACUCCAGCCUGGGUGACAGAGCAAGACUCCGUCUCAA
RNAcentral lists this non-coding RNA (148 nucleotides) under Gorilla gorilla gorilla (western lowland gorilla). The record is from Rfam by way of RNAcentral. Lineage: Eukaryota; Metazoa; Chordata; Mammalia; Primates; Hominidae.